GCCUCCCAAAAGGUAACGGAGGCGCUCAAAGGUUCUCUCAGUACGGUCGGAAAUCGUACGUAGAGUGUAAAGGCAAAAGAGAGCUUGAUUGCAAGACAUACAGGUCGAGCAAGGAUGAAAAUCGGACUUAGUGAUCCGGUGGUUCUGCGUGGAAGGGCCAUCGCUCUACGGAUAAAAGCUACCCUGGGGAUAACAGGCUUAUCUCCCCCAAGAGUCCACAUCGACGGGGAGGUUUGGCACCUCGAUGUCGGCUCAUCACAUCCUGGGGCUGUAGUAGGUCCCAAGGGUUGGGCUGUUCGCCCAUUAAAGUGGUACGCGGGCUGGGUUCAGAACGUCGUGAGACAGUUCGGUCCCUAUCCGUCGCAGGCGUAGGAAAUUUGAGAAGACCUGUCCUUAGUACGAGAGGACCGGGAUGGACGUACCUCUGGUGUACCAGUUGUCCUGCCAAGGGCAUGGCUGGGUAGCUAUGUACGGAAUGGAUAAGCGCUGAAAGCAUCUAAGCGCGAAGCCAACUUCAAGAUAAGAUUUCCCACCGCAAGGGUAAGACCCCAGAAAGACUAUCUGGUUG
This 568-nucleotide ribosomal RNA is filed under the name Clostridioides difficile. RNAcentral's name for it is "bacterial LSU rRNA". It matches the Rfam family "Bacterial large subunit ribosomal RNA", at positions 2285 to 2855 of the family's 2925-position model. Lineage: Bacteria; Bacillati; Bacillota; Clostridia; Peptostreptococcales; Peptostreptococcaceae. The record is from RNAcentral.